Molecule: long non-coding RNA, 403 nt
Filed under: Androctonus crassicauda
Lineage: Eukaryota; Metazoa; Arthropoda; Arachnida; Scorpiones; Buthidae
Source: RNAcentral
GUUCGAUUCUGCGGUUCCCACCUCUUGAAAACAUUUAUCAUGGGGUCUGGGCCCGGUCCUUCGAUUCCCGUCCGCCAUAGUCCGGCUGAUCACAUCGCAGGGGUGGGCAGCCUGUGGAAGGACUUGUUUCGUUUCGCCCUGCCACUUAGUACGCUUUCUAAGUGGAAAGUGAUGUCAUCUGUUAUCAAAAAGGAUCCCCACGACAUACUUAAAUUUCUCCUUGCUAAAAUCUUCCUUUUCCGAAUUUGUUUACUUCCCUCAGAAUAUUAUUGACUAUUCCUAUUAGUAUAGCUAGUGGGGACGUUCAUUUUCGCGAAUGAAAAUAAUAAUAAACAACUUGAGAUCAUCUAUUUUAAGAGAGAUUGACAAACUUAUCGCUUAUUGUUAUUGAAAAUGAUGCAUG